Molecule: long non-coding RNA, 655 nt
Organism: Humulus lupulus (European hop)
Lineage: Eukaryota; Viridiplantae; Streptophyta; Magnoliopsida; Rosales; Cannabaceae
Exons: 5
Source: RefSeq, a predicted model, not a curated record
UUAAUUAAAAUUUUAAAAAAUAAUAAAUAAAAAUAGAGUUACCAAAUACGUUUUAUGUUACCAAAUACCUCCUCUGUGACGGCGCCCCCACCUUCAUUCGACAACCCCGAACAGCACCCGAAGACAGUAGCCCAGCCGCCGUUCGACCCCAGGACAGCAACCCCGCCAUUAUUUCGACAUCCACAACAGAUCUUAUAGGAAGGAGAAAGAUCUAAAGAAGCGCAGCAGCAACCGCAAAAGAAAAAAGCAUUCUUCAAGAAGAAGAUCGUCUGAAUCUAGUUCAUUGUCAAGCUCAUCAGAGGAUUCUUCUAGCAGUGAUGAAGAAGAGAAGGAAGCAAGAAGAUCCAAAGAUGGCUUGCUGGAUGGCCACAUGAAAGAGACAGGAUGCAAUGAGUUUGUAGCUGAAAACUAUAUUGAGACAAGAUAUAGUUUUCUUUGAUAAAGAGACCAACACAAGCGAAAUUGUUGGCAUUAUGUUUGGUGACACUUUUUUUUAAUCCAAGAUGCAAUGGGAGAGAAGAGGAUAACAUUCAAAACAUCAUCAUCAUCAUCUCAAAAAUGGCAUCCUCUGGACAAACUGCUAAUGCCAAAGCAGCAAAUGUAGUUGAUCAAACAUUUAGUUCGAUAAGAACUGUAUGUAUUUGUGUUAAAAUUU